This 497-nucleotide ribosomal RNA is filed under the name uncultured bacterium. Its description in RNAcentral is "partial 16S ribosomal RNA". It matches the Rfam family "Bacterial small subunit ribosomal RNA", at positions 28 to 507 of the family's 1533-position model. The record is from RNAcentral.
GAUGAACGCUGGCGGCGUGCCUAAUACAUGCAAGUCGAGCGAACGGACGAGAAGCUUGCUUUUCUGAUGUUAGCGGCGGACGGGUGAGUAACACGUGGAUAACCUACCUAUAAGACUGGGAUAACUUCGGGAAACCGGAGCUAAUACCGGAUCAUAUUUUGAACCGCAUGGUUCAAAAGUGAAAGACGGUCUUGCUGUCACUUAUAGAUGGAUCCGCGCUGCAUUAGCUAGUUGGUAAGGUAACGGCUUACCAAGGCAACGAUGCAUAGCCGACCUGAGAGGAUGAUCGGCCACACUGGAACUGAGACACGGUCCAGACUCCUACGGGAGGCAGCAGUAGGGAAUCUUCCGCAAUGGGCGAAAGCCUGACGGAGCAACGCCGCGUGAGUGAUGAAGGUCUUCGGAUCGUAAAACUCUGUUAUUAGGGAAGAACAGAUGUGUAAGUAACUGUGCACAUCUUGACGGUACCUAAUCAGAAAGCCACGGCUAACUACGUG